Molecule: long non-coding RNA, 31837 nt
Organism: Alligator mississippiensis (American alligator)
Lineage: Eukaryota; Metazoa; Chordata; Crocodylia; Alligatoridae
Exons: 3
Source: RefSeq, a predicted model, not a curated record
GUAUAAGCUGAUAAACAUGGCUCUUUUCUGAUGGGGGCCCUGUUUGGAUAACUUGGCCUCUUCUAAAUUCUUCUUUCCCUUGCGUUCCCCUCUCCUUUUUCUUUCCCCCCCCCCCCCCCCCCCUCUUGUCAAGCCCACUUCAUAAAUGGUAGCAGCUGGAGGUCUUUUUAGUGGUAUUCAGGGAUUACUGCCCUUCAGGAUUUUAAUAAGCCCCAAUGUCUGAAAUGCCUGUAAGGGUGCUCUCUGAGACAAUUACCAUUCAAAACUGGGGAUUGAAGACCCUUCAUAGCCCAGAUGGCCAAGGUUCUGCGCACGGACAGAUAGCGUUCCCUGAACAACAGAUCACUGGAGCAAAGAGAAGGUUUUGUUGUUAGUUGAGGUGGGGAGAGGGAGAAAAGGAAGGGUGUAAAGGGGUUCUAUCUCUUUACAGCUUAUCAAAGCUGAGUUUACUCAUUCCCCUAUAUAUAACUGGAUUUAAAGCUGUGACCUCUUAACGACAGCAGUUUUAGGUUACAUAGCCCCAUGGUUAAUUUACACAGGGGACUAUGUACUGUAAAGUAGCUGCAAUCUGUAAUUUAAAGGCACAGUACUCCUGACUGUAAGAAGGCCUGAAGAAAUAUUUGUUUGCUGUCCUCAAAUGCUGGAAAUAACCUUUGAAGGCCCAUAAUGAGGUGGCUAUUCUUAAUACUUUACUACUGACAGCUAAUGACAAAAUUUAUGGUAAUGCCUGAUUUCUGCUCAUGAGCACUGGGAAGUUAAAUUUGGGAAAAUACAGCUUAUUCACUUAGAGUAAACUUUUGGCCAGGAAGAACUGAUUCAGUCUACUUUUACCUAAGAUACUGCAUGGGUUUCAAAGGAUAACAUGGAGUUUCUGGGAGAGAAGUGGUGCACUACCUUUGAUUUAGGGAAUUUCUUAGGAGUAUUUUUUUUUUUAACUGAUGAAAAACAGGGAUUGAGGGGAAAGUUUGGAAGUUGUUUUUUUUAAGACCUCCUGAUUUACCCAAUGAAGGGCUACAGUGGUGACUGUUACAGCCAGAUCAGUUGGUCCUCUGCAGGAGAGGUGGUUUAUUAGCUGAACAACUGUUCUCCGUCUGGAUGGACAGAUAUUAAUUUUUUAAUCUGUGGACCACCAAUGGCAGAAAAACCCAUUUGUGCCUCUCUAGAUUUAAGGGUAAUUUUUGCAAUAUUGAGCUCGGAGACAUCGGUUACUGGUCUUUUUCCUUUUGGCUUUAUACUGUAUCUUUAUUCUUUUAAAUCAAAAUUUCAUUAAGAAAAUAAACAGCAUCAGUACAUGAUACAAGAGAAGAAUUGUCUUAAAUAAAAAGUAUACAGCUGAACCAAGCCUCGUGGAAGAAUAGUCUAGAUGGAUGAGAAUAAUUCUGCAUGUAUUGAUUCUGAGGCUUCCCUUUCACACUCCAAUAAGUUACGAUGAGCUAGUUCGUGGAACUGCUAAAACUAGCAAAUAAAAAAUUAAAACAGAAUUAUUUUAUCACUGUCAUAGAAAAAACAAAUACAAAUUGGUGGCAGAAUUUGGACGGACAGGUUAUUUAUGUACUAACAGCUAUACUGUGCUAGUGGUUGAUUUUAAAAAUGAUUAAAGAUACAGGCGGGUUACUAUGUUUUUUCCCAAAGUUAUUGAAGAUGUAGAGAAAUCUAAAUCAGGAGGAUAGGUCUUUGCCAGCUGUCAUUCUCUCAGGCCUUCAUCCCUCUCCUAAAGUAGCUAUGCUGAGGAUACCUUUGUGGUUUAAGAGAUCAUUUGUAACGGAGACAGUCAGUUCACCUGAAGAUAAUAUUUUAUUAGCCUCUCAAACUGAUGAGCGUGGCUGCUAGAAUAUGCACCCCUCUUGAAACCAAAUUAUUAUGUUUGUCUUGUGCAUUCCUGUCACCGGUUAUUUUACAUAAAAAUCCUGCCCCUUAGGCCUUAUUAGGAUAAUAAGAUGAUAAACAAAUAAAUAAAUAAAACACUCAUAAAUGAAGAAGGGCCUGACUUCAGUAAUGGACAUUGAUUGUUUACACUCUAAUGACCUUAGUAUGAAUUGCAAAGUGGCCAAGUGAAUGUAAAUUGUGCAACAGUUUCAAAUGAAGGUAGAUAUUGGGCCAAAUUCUGCUUGUUUUGCUUAUAUGAUUAUAGUAGGCUACUUGAAGUCAGUAGAUAAAUUAUAUAAAUAAAAUUGGCUGGAUUUGGCCCCUCACAUGUCAUUCUCUGUUCUCUCAGGUCCUAAAUUCAACUCAGAGGAGAUUAAAAUAUUCUAUUUUUAAAUAUUUUGAAGUUGUAUUAAGAUGAUGACUCCAUCAUUGCAACUGAUAGUCUUGUAAUAAAUAGCCUACAGAAAUAUGUAUGCAAUACUAAUAAUAUAAGCAAAGUUUGAAUGGGUCUGAUUUCAUAUGGACAGCUCCACUUUUUUUUUUCAGUAGGUUUGCUCUGAUGUAACCCUAGGUAGUGGUGUUUAACUAGAGCAAGAUGGAUUUAGAUCAGAUCUCAGGAAAAAUAAUCUUUAAGUCCAAGAGCUGUAGGAAAAGGAACAAGAUGCCUAGGAAACUGGUGGAAUCUUCUGCCUUUUAAGCAGAGGCUGCAGAGCCAUCUCUUUGGUUUAGGAAAAGCAUAUACUUUAUCUGUAGAGCAGUUAGACAAUAUGGCUCUCAAGAUCCCUUUCAACAUACGAGUCUUUGAAACUGGAGGAUGAUGAAUCAAGCCCAAUGUUUGUACAGUGUAUAUAGAAAUAUAUAAAAUACUAGUGUAAUCUUUGUGUAUCUGUUUGCACAUGUGAAGUUUGUACGUAUAAAUGUCACAGCACAUUCCUUGGUUGGGGGGGGGGAGGAGGAGGAAGCAGAUGAUACAAAGGGUAAUGAGUUUGAAUUAAAUUUGUUUUGUCUUUUUAGAUUCUUUUUUUGCCAAGCUUAUCACCAUAGUUUCUGAAUGCUUCUGACAGCUCUCAUCUCUACUCCAAAAGGGGAGUGAAACAAAGAUCAUUGUGCAUAUCACAGAAGAGAACUUGAACGUAGCAUAACAAUUAAUGUAUUUGUAGGGUUGGUCUGCCUGAAGUGGAAUCUGUGGUUUAAGUUAUGUUAAAUGCUUUUCAGGAUCUUUCUGUGUUUCUUAUCCAGGAUUUUCCCCCAGUUCUGUCCACUUAUGAGGGGGGGAUAGAAUUUCAAAUGCAUUGACAUAACAGGGAACCUAUCACUUGCUUUCUUUUGAUAAGAAUUCUCAGUCCCUAUCUGAGUCUAUAUAGCUUUCUUUGUUAACAACUGAAAUGUGAGAAACAUACUCUCUUAUUGGAUGUUAAAAACUGUUUUAAACCUGUUUAAAAACUGCUUAACUGCUUAGCUGUGUGAAGUUUUUGUUCUCUAACUGCUUCCACCCAAAAAAGAUAGAUCUGAUUUUAGUCUUUUCUAGUCUAUUUUUUAUUUCUCUCUGUGAACUGUAUAUGAGCUGUGAUUUCCCUGAUACUGUCUACUACUACUAGAAGUCUGAUAGAGUCAUAGAACAGCACUACAGUGCUUGCCUUCCUAAAUGUUGUCUUGAACUGUGAAGACUUCUGUAAACUGAUUAGACUCUCCCUUUGUUUUGGUUGUUUUUUAAGCUUCAGUCCUGACCUAAAUAUAUAGUUUCCUACUCUUUACUAAUAGUUUUUAGUAUUUUAUACAUAAUUAGAUCUAAAUAUUGUGGUAUAGGGAUGAGAGGAAAAAGUGAUGAUCCAAUUUGCUGUAAUUGGUACGCUAGCAAAACCUAGAUUAUCUGCCUGUGUUCUAUACACUCUUAAACAGUUGCAUAAUUUAGCCUUGAAAUAUUUGCAGUAGUUCUAAGAUCAGUUGGGGAAAAAUAAAACAAAAAUGGACAAAAAAGUGGUGGGGCAGCAUUACCAUUCUUGUAGGUUCCACUUACAAAACUGAACCAGCGAUUUUGAAUCUCUUCUAGUGGAAAUAAUGGCUUUGUAUUCAAAUGUAACUUAUUUUAUUAAGAUAUUACUUUAAUACUCUACUAAUUACAGCAUUACAUUCUAAGUGCUAAAAUAACAUUAGAAUGGUUUUAUUUUAGAGACUUUUACUUUAGAAUUUCUAAUUUGUUUUUACUUUCUACUCGAGACAAUCCUUAGUAGUUGCCUUAAACACAGUAUAGUGCUGCAGUUACCUACCUGGUUGUCUGUCCACCCCCCACUCAUAAUAGUAGUACUACGCAAUGCAGUGCAGUGUGCUGUAACUGCUUUGAGGCUUAUUCAAGUAUCUUUCAGUGAGAUAAGCUGACUUGUCAGCCUCUGCAUAUUGGAGUCCAUAAAGGUAAUGAUAAAUAUGUAAUGGGAUUUAACAGUUAAACAGCAUAUAUAUAUGCAAAGCCUUCAAACAGGGCAACUAUGAGGAUUAGGUCCUCUUUAGGUAAGUGUUGUUCCAUUUUACAGGUGGAAAACUAAGGCAGAAAAUUUUAAAUGGUAGGCAUAAGGCCAGGGAGUUCAACUGAGUGAGACUCCAUUAAAAUGUAAUUCCUGAUACCGCUUACAGACUCUUUGUACUGGAUGUGGUACCUUCUCUCUGCCUCAGUAAUUAAAUGACUUCUAAAUUUUUAUUUUAUUUAUUUGAAAUGUCCCAAUCAGUAAACAGAAGAAAAAGUGUUCAAAAGUAUCUGCAUGUCAUUUCCUCACAACUUUCUGUGACUCCCUGGCGCUUCUAGUUUUGUUGGAUUAUUAGUCUGUGAAGGAAGAGAUAAAGCAUUUCCUUGUAUUGAAUUUGAGCACGCUCUGUGCUUUGGGCUGAAUGAAAUAUUAAAAGCUGUUUGCGAUCUCACAGAUGAGUAGGGCAGGCAAAUUUUCGCACGCACAUGGAAGGGGGGGAAGAAAGAAAUGAGGUCGAGGCAUCCAUAGAUUCUAGAAUUUAAGUGAUUUGUUCAUGUCUGGUGGUAAUAUUUCCCUUCUAUGUGUAGGGAAGGAAGUGAUUAACACCAGUGGCGUGUGUUUCAAAUUACUAUUUUAAAUUCUUAUUUUAAACAUACUUGGGGUCACAUACAUAUGUUAAGCCUUCUACUGAUUGUGGCUCCCUAAGCCACUCAAGCUGCAAAAAAAUAUAGUAGACUGAAUAAUCCCAAAGAUAGAAGUAUAGGAACUAAUUUACAGAAAUAUGGGUACUGCCUAUUUGUAGUGCAUGUGUGCAGUCAUAUAAGGGAGGAUGGACAGGAGAAGAUUUUUACACCAUUGGCUAAUCUUUUUAAUAGUGUGUAAUAAUACAUAAAUAGUAAUUGUUCUGUAGAGAAUCUGUCCAUUGCACUCCUUCGAGGUUAAAAUUACCUUGAACAUUGGCUCGCUGCUGAGUCCCUUCAUCCCAUGGACAGCUGGUUUUACAAGUUUGGCCUUGCAUGUCAGUCUAUGUGGAACUGAAUGGAAAUCCAUCUGUAUUACUUAAUGAUAAACUUUGUCUUUAAGCAUAGGGAACCCUCUUACUGGGAGGCUGUCAGUUACCUAAGGAUGAAUACUUACUAGGUCUAUAAAAUGCCCCUUAUGACAGCACAUAAAAUGCUUGGCUUUAGAGAACAGCUUUAAGAUUGUUUGCUAUAUGCCAGUCGGCAUAAUAUAAAAUUCUGAGGUCUAAACCUAAACAUUACACUGUUUCAUUUGCACAUCUUAUAAUGAAAGAUAUUUUCAAGUUCUUCAGCUGCACAGUCACUUAAAGCAUGUACACUUAAUCAUGAAGGAACUAAUAGAAGGCAAAGUGGCAUAGCUUCAGCCGUGUAGGCCUUGCUAGUCUAUUAUAAAUAAAUGAGGUGGCCCUGGGGGAGCAGUACACACAAGGGGUUAAGUAUGGCUGUUCUCAGUAGAUCAAUAUUAGAAAAAUAUGCAGUAAGAACUUAGUAACCUUCCAGAGAAGUUGCUUUGAAAUAUUCAUACACAGUAAAGGUGCAAAUCCCCCUUUUUAGUUGAAGGGAACUUAGCAAAGAUGCACCUAAACAUGGAGAAAUAGAAAAACUCUUUCCCUCAAUUACAAAUAGUUAGCUCAGAGCAAAUAAUGAAAUCAUUUCAGAAAAUAACUGCAUGAUUAUUUAUUGACUUUGGCCACAUUGAUUUGCUAAAUCAUAUGGAUGCUAUUAAGGUUUGCUGUUUUAAGCAACUUCUCUCCCCCUGUGCCCUCUUUAAAUUGACAUGGCUAAAUCUCAACACAUUUUUGAAACCACAGUUCAAAAGCUUGUGUAUGGCUUUUUUUUUUUUUCAAAUUUGAAAAAAUAGAUAUAUAUUUAUAGAUGUAAUGUUCCCUUGUUACUUAAUCCUCUCCCCCACUAUUACUUUGGAGUAUUUCUGUUUGGUGUAACCCCAUCUCAGGAGUGAAGCUGUAAAUACGGUUAGUGUAUACUGCUUAUUCAAAGCUAACUUACUAAAGUGUGGACUGUGCAUUUUAAGUGGAAACAUUCCAUGUAUCCUGUAUUACAAUGUCAAAUUAUUAGUGGAUUUUCAAAGCAAACAGAAAUGUAAUUUAAAGCCAUCCCUCUCAACUGCACUUGAUUACAAAGAUCCCCUGGCUGCUUUAGUUAGAACUAUCCCAUGUUUUAUUACUGUGAGCAAUUGGUGUCAGAAAUGCUGAAUCAUGAAACUGAUAUUACAGGAAAUUUUAUGUAUACUUAAACUAAUCCAAUACAAUUUCAAAUAUGUUCCUUUGCUGUUUUUAUCUGAGCAAAGCCCUUACUUUGAAUGUGUAGUAAGCAUUUUUCAGUUCACACUGAAUCCUUGGCAGGUUGUGCAAUAGAUUUGAAUUGCAUAUUAAAAACAGAAGAAAAAAUCUGGCUGAAAUAGAGAUUUGAAAAUUUCACACUGUAUAUCAGUAUCUAAGUGGCACUAGAAAUGUACAGAAAAGGCCCAGAGGAGGCUAAUGGACUUGCUAUCAGUAAAGUACAAAAUCUAUUUUUCCUAUAUAUUGUUCCUCCAAAUUGGUUUCUAUCCCCUGGAUAAGUAACCUAAGGAUGCUUUAUGUCUGUUUUAAAACUUUAACAUUAGGCUUUGUUCAUUUCUUCAUUCAUUCCAGUAAGAGGUAAGGGAGUCCAUGUAUCUGAGGUGUAAGUGGAGCUCACCAACUUCCAUUAGAGUGUAACUCUUUGAAACCCUCAAACUAGUCAUGCAUAUGUGAUUCCAAUGAUUAUUUACCUAAAUUAAUACUUUUUUUUUAAACUCUUCUCUACAGUGAAGUUGUGGCAAGAACCAUAAAGGCUAAAUUAUGCAGCUGUGCUUCCCAUCAGCAAACUAGGGAGUAAGUACCUUAAGAAGCUGAAGCUUCAUCUCUAGCAGUACACUGUAUUCCGCCAGCCUCAUAUCACUGGUAAAAGGAACAUGGCACGCAGGUGUUUAAAUUAUUUACACUCAUAAUCGGCCUUUAUGUUACAUUGCAGAGCCAGGCCUCUGUUAUUCUAGUGCAUAAUUGAUGGUGCUCAGAAGUGGAAAAGUUAGAAAAGCGGAAGUAAUAUGAUGCGAAAGUGCAGUGAGGCAGCUCCAGCUGGCACAGCCUGUUGGGGCUGAGCGGUCUGAGGCAAGAACAGGUUCGCGUGUGCACACUCACCAAGGAGAAGACAUCAGAAGUAACAGGUCUUGACUUGGCAUGUUAUUGGGAUUUUUAUUCAAGGUUUGCAAGGGAAAGGAGUCAGCACUUAAGAUUUUUUCAGCCAAGUCAUGUGACUAACACGAACUAGAAAGUUGUAAGUUUGUCACAAAACACCUUCAUAGUGCUUUCAGAUGAUUCGCAAGUCAGUAAUCCCAGACAGGGCUAAUUUAAAGUGAAAUUUAGAAUGCUUUUGGAUGGAUUGAUGACCAGAGCACUUUAUGGCAAGCGGGGCUUAGUCCCCUACAACUUGGAAGUUUUUCUAACUUCAUGUUAUGCAGGAAUUUUUCUAUAACUAAAUCUGAAGAUUGAAAAUUUUAUGAGUAUAUUUUGUAACAUUUCUAUUGCUUUUGAUGAAAAUUAAUAUAAUGUAGAACACAUGAAAAUUAUCAACUGUUAACUGUUAAACCUUAAUGAAUUAUUAAAUUAAUUUUUUCCAUAAGGAAUGAAGUAGGCUUUUUCUUCUAAAAACAAUCAAUCAUUUUGAAUCUGGGCCUGCACACAUUGAAGUCAAGAAUAAAAUAGCCCUCUGCAUAUAAGUUUUUGCCUGUUUUUCUAAACAAAUAGGGAGCUGGUCAGUAUAGUACACAACAAUUAGGAUUUAGGUAGUUGAGAAGAGUAUCAGUAUUUACAUUAUUAUUUUCAGUCUCCGGUUCUAGUAUUGGAGCUGUUACAUCAACCACAUCAUCUGUUUUUAAAAAUGAAAAAAUGUCUAACCCACAUGCACUAGUUGAAAGUAAAAAUCAUUUAUAAUUGUCUAUGAAUAAUAGUAUUAAAUAGGACUUCUCAACUCCUGUGAAAACAAGUGUUGCAGUAUGUGUAAACACUGUGGAUGUUAUUGAACUGGAGAUAUGGUAAUAUAGUAUACAUGAUUGAAGUAAUGAAACGUCACAUGUUUAUUUUUUGUUUGUAACAGACUGAUCCACUUCUAAGAAUUGGAGCCUCCUGACACAAAUGCAGUGGUUUAAUGCAGUUUAACUAAUUAUAUAUUCUUAUACUAAAUAACACUCAGCAUUUGUAUGUUGUAAAUGACCACACACUAUUUAACUAAACCUCUGCUUAUAUUACCUUCAUACACAGAGGUAGUGCUAAUGCAGGCAUUUGUACGCUAAACGCUCCCUCUGUGACAAUUCUUCAGGUGAUAAAGUGGCUAAUAACUUUUAUUAUUAUUUCUGUGCAGAGAAAAUGAAUGUUUCAUCCCCAUUCAUUGGGAAGAAUAGUGCAGAGAUCCCAAAUCAAUUCAUCCCCCUUGCUUUAAUAACCCUGCCUCAUUAACAUUUCCUAUAUUAAUUCUGCCAAAGAAAACAAACAAACAAAUAGCAGGAAAAGAAAAGAAAAAAGAAAUAAAGGAAAUCAUACAAAGAUUAUUAUGACAAUAAAAAUGACAAAAAGGUAUGAAAUGAUAUUUCACAUAGAAAAGGCAACCUCGUAACGUUUAAUGAAGCAACACAAAUCCUUACAGCUUCUUUGAUGAUGGUGCUAUAAAAUAUCCUAAUAAGCUAUAAAGAAACUAUCCUAUGUCCUGUUGAAAAUAAUGACUGUUGCAAAGUCCUGUGCCACAACAUUAAGAAGGCAAAAACAGAGAAAAGUAAUUAGACACUGAAGGGAGAAAGAAAAGCUAUUCUAGGCUAGUCUUUUGUCCUAUGCUGCAAUAUCUACUGUACCUAAAGAAGUGCUUUUAGUAAACAUAUUUUUCAGCUGAAAUACAAUAUUGAAGCACUGGAUUAUUUUUAACUGUACAUUUUUUUUAAUGUUCUUGUGUAUCUGUUUCAUGUUGCCAUAUAACAAAUUAAGAAACUUAAACACAAAUUAUGUAUAUCUUUUUUGAUACAGAGAAAUGUUGCAAAUUUUAGUGGUUAGGCUUUGGCUAUCUUUUAGUAACAAUGUUUCAAGAAGUCAAGGAAUAAAAAGCUCAGAAGUUUGAACUGAGGGAUGUACUUCUCUAUGGUAUUGCACCUUUGCGAAUGUGUUGUGCAAAGUAGAGGGGUUUUGUUUUAGAAGAAGCAAAGUCAUUUCAGUGUUGUAGGUGACCAAAUGUUUCAGUUUUGAUGGUGUUUUAUACCCAAGCUGCACAGGUGUAAAUGCAAGGUGUAAGGCAAUGGAAAAUAGGUUUGGGGAUGUCAGACUUAGCUUUAAAACUUUUUUUAGGGAACUUUUACUGUGAAGGUAUUUUUGUCUGAUGUAUAUGACUCAAAUGCAUAUGAUACAAAUCGAGGAAAUAAGAUAUUGUGACAUAUAUAUAGACGAUAUUUAUCAUUUUCAAAUAAUGGAAGUAUGAGCAGUAUAUAGAACUGAGAACUUGAGGUUUCUGUUUCUCAUUCCUAUCCCUGAUUUUUGUAUAACGUUGGACAAAUUACUCUAUUUUUUUCUGACUAGGUUAAUCUCUUUGUCCAGUAACUAUAAAAGAAGCAAUGCCUACCUGGCCUACUGAGUGUCUACAAACUGCUUUGAGAUUCCUACAUGCAAGAAGUCAUAAACCUGUAAAUUAUUUGUAUGAAAUGUGAGCAUUGACUAACCGGUUUAAUAUUUUGUUGGCCAAAAUUAACAGCAUUUUGGGCCUGAUCAGGCAUCAGUUCUGUCAUAGACUUGCUGCAUGACUUAGUGUUUUGUGUUUCUGUUUCUUUUUUGUAAAGCAUGGUUAAUGCUACUUGUUCUAACUCACAAGAAUGCAAUCUUAAUUUUUGAUGUUGAAGAGCAAAAUAUUAAGUGUUGAUGAUUUAUGAUAUCUAUAUUCCAGAGUACUCAGUGUGGUUUUUCAUUCAUGUUUAAAAAGAUUAGUGUGAAGGGUAUCCAUAAAAUGGAAAUUAACAUUAAGCGUUCUACCUAAAUAUCCUUUUCAAAAUGUGUUGAUAAAGUAAACCAAAUUUCAUGAGAUGACAGAGGUGUCUCCUUUUUCUACAACAUAUUGAUUGUUUGAGGGGUUGCAUGUGAAAUUAAAGAGGGUUUCUUCCAGCUGCCUCUCAGUAGCUGGGAGAGAACUAGGUAUGUUGCUGCUAAUUAUGGCUCCCUUCUGUAAAUUUACUAAUUUAGUGGAUUGUAUUGGGAAAAACAGCGAUAAUUUUGUAAUUUGGUUGAAAUAACUUGGUGUUAAUUAACACUUAAUUACAGUGGGUUUUUGUAGAAUUGGAUCGUGUGUUGAUUAAAAAAAAUUAGGACAUGUGUAUGUGUAAAAAUUAAGAAGUUCAUCAUUUUUAUUCUCUCUCACAUGCACGCGUGCGCGCAGCAGAAUGAAAAGAAUUCCUUUUAGCAAAUAUUGCGAGGUUGACUGCUUUUGGAUCAACCCCCUUGCUUGUAAGAAGGGCCCGUGCUGGAGUUGGUAAGAAAGCAAGCUCAGGAGACAUUGGUAGGUGGCUAAUGAACAUUCUGUUUUUAAUGGAUGAUAGUCAAGUAUACAAGACCUUGUGGUGCUGUGCCUAGAUUAGCCUGUGACAGGAAGCCCAAACCACUCACCUAUCAUAACGAAUUAGAAGGCACUUUCACUGUAUUUCUAAGAUGGUUUCUCCACCUCCCGCUUGCCAUUUCAGCUGUUCCGAGUCACUCAAGCAUCAAAUCUUUCCGUGAUCACAGGGUUUGCACUCUGCACGCUAUCAGUACAGAGCAGCAGUACAGAGAAAGUGCACUGCUGGCAUGGAAAAAAAAAUUAACUCGACAUUGCCCAUCUCAAAUGUAUCCAGUUCAGAGAAGAGGAGAUGGUGGAUGAGAUGGUGAAAAAUGAGAUCCACACUAAUCUGAGUUGGGGAGACUGUGGCCAAAUCUGAAAAAUCCUUCCGAGGCCUCUAAUGGAAGCAAGAUCAGACAAUAUCAACCUCUGUCCUGAAAUCUGCAAUGUUGAUCCAAGCAAAUUGCUCGGUAGAAAGUGACCCAUGAAAUGGCGAGAAUAAAACAGAAAUAUGCAGUAAACAGGGAAGAAUGUGAAUGAACAGCAGAUGAUAUUACAGAGCAGUGCAGAAGGCAAAAAACUGUCAUUCAAUAUAGUCUUUCACAAAAUGUGAUAGUAAAAUAUGCCUUUAAAAUGGACGGAUAGCAGGCAGCUAAUAUUUUUGUGGGGCCAACAACCUCCUGAGCCCUGCUGUUGUUCUUGUUAAUUUUUCUCAUGUUUGGUAAGAUUUAGUUUGGUAAGUUUUGAAUGAAUUUCCUAACUUGCCAUGGGAAAACGUGGGAGAGGAGCAGCUCAGCCAAUUGAGGGUGGAGAGGCAUGGAACGAGCUGAUCAUGGAUAAAACAUUUUUUUCUGUGGAAAGAGUUGAAAAUUUGGGCUGGGUAUUAUUUUGUCUGAAUGACCGUACCAGACUCCGUUAGUACCCAAGAGAUUAGAGCCUCAGCAGUUUAAUAGGUUACCUACAGAGUUAACACACUAGCCACUUCAAAAUAUGAAGCUUUCUCCUUUUAAAAGCUGACUAUUUACGUAGAAAAAACCCAACACUUUUCUAAUCCAGAGGGGUAGCAGUGCAGCUCCACACCUGCGGCAGUGGUGGUGCCUGCUCUGCUGUUUGUGGUGGCACGAUCUGCUACAGCCACAGCUGUUUUUGCACCCUCCCCACAGAGGUGGCACCCAGGACUGCUAUGCUGGUCUGCCCUCUGUUACACUAGUGUUCCAUUGGAGACAAAUGCAUAAAGUUUGCAGUCUGGAAAACAGUGUGCCCACUGUCCUCUCCAAGCACAUAACUGACAGAUAUAGUCCAGAAUUUUUUGAGCAGGGAGUCCCAGGUUGUUAAAAGUUCCAGUGGGCCUGAGAGGUUUGGCCAGGGGUCUUUUUUUUUGUAUUGUUUUUUGCUUUUGGAUGACAACCUAAUUUGUGAAUUCAGUCUAUGAGUUCAUUUUUAGCAAGGUACACGACUUUGACUGUAAAGGAACAAGGGGCUUAGUGGCUAAAGUUGAGGGACAGAUUUUGCAUUUGAAGUUCACCGAAUUAUUCUCUCCCACCAGAGCGUUCCAAAAGCAGAAGUUUAGGGGCUCCUCAGUUUAAAAUAAGUGUGUCUUUACCUCUUUAAAACUUGGCAACAUACUCAGACUGUCUUUCUCUUAAACAAGGAGAGGGCAAGCUUACUUUUUUCUAUAGUGACAUUUUCUUUAAUUCUGUUUUGGACAAGUGGGUUGUGGAAAUAAUCAUAAAAGUCCCUCUGCUGGAAAUUAGAACAACUAUUUACAAGUGCCACCACACACAUUAUAGCUGGCUUUGGCAGCAACAACUCCUAAAUUUUUGAUCACUAUGACAGUUCUUGUUCUAUGACAAAAGGCUUUCUGCCUUGGAUUUAAAAACCACUUUUAUUUGAGCAGUAUAGUAUACGGUUAAGUAUACAUACAAAAACAGUCCCUCGACCAGAUCCCCAGAGUGUAAGAGGUGUAUAUCCAGGACUUCAUUUGUUCAAAAUUACAAUGAACCAAGUAUUAAUAAUGGCAUUGGAAGGACUCAUGAGAACAAGAGGAAGCACACCUAGUGCCAAUUGGUUUUGGGGAAGUUAAGAGAAUCUUGGCUUGCAUUGCAACCUGAAAAGAAGCACCAGUAGUGAAAGUUGAUUACUUGUUUGAUUGGGAUGUGGUGAUCUAAUCUGAGAGCACAGUUUAACACACCAACACGGGAAAUGUAUUUCAUUGACACGGGGGGAGCAGACAUAUCUCAGACACACAUUGGUUGGAAACUUCUAUUUGUGUUGUUCUUGAGUUUCUUCUGUCUGGACUUGAGAAGGGCCUCAAUGUUUUCACAAUAACAAGGUCCAAUGUACAACUGUUCAACCAUUGGAAAUCCGAUUGCAAGGAUGUCUUUCAACCUACCCUAUUUUAAUCUGUUACUUUAAAGCUGAACCUUCCUGAGGUUUUAAAAAAACAGGGCAAGAGAGCAGUCAUUUGUUUUUGGAGUCAUGUACAGCAGCUGUGUGGAGUUUUCAAUAUCUAUUUUAUUUUUAAAUAGCGCUACAGACUAGUAAAAAUACAUUGAGAGCAGUUAUUGUUGAUCAUUAUUUUAUUAUUUAUUGAGUGCUGAUGGUGAGUUACCUUCAGUACUGUACAUACUGGAGAGAAGAUAUAGAUCUGGCCCUCAAGACGUUUAUAACUUACAUAGAUAAAUAGAAUUAAACUGACCAAGAGUUGGGCUGAGUUGUUUUAUAAGAAUGUGCUGUACUGACAGUUAUUUUGGUACUCAAUUUAUGAAGAAAUCAGUCUUGUUCUUUGAAAAAAAAAAAAAAAGAUAUUAUUCCUUCUGCUUAAAAAUAGAACAUUCUGAAUUUUACCCCAAAUUUAGAUAUAGCUGCCUGUAACUGAAAGACAAAAUGAAGUAAUAGCUUAGUAUCAUGAAUUGCUUCAGUCAAUUUGUGGGUUCAUAACCCUUGCACCUCUUGAUAAUUUAAUGGUCAAGAUUUGUUUACCAAGCAGCAUGUCGACACAAAAUGUUUUUUCCGUAAUAUGAUCCUUAUAAACACAGCAUAUUCAUUGGGCGAUUAGAGGGUAGAUGGAUAUCACUGGCUUUUUUUUGGGUUUAUUUUUUAUAAAUAAUAAGAAUAAUUCUUUGUGGAAUGGACUGGGUAUGUUAGACUUCAUGAAAGAAUUGUAAGUUGAAAGGAAGAAUUAAAAGAGAGAAUAGGAUCAGAGCCCAUCAAACCUAGAAGAGAGUUUUAGAAAUACAGUGUGGAAAUAUUCCUUCCAAAAUAAUAUCUCUCUGCUGGUGAAUUUUUUUGUCUGCUGUUAUUUUUUACAAUAGUGAGAACCAAACAUUAAACAUUAAUAAUACAGUGACUAUGUUAAAUGCUUGAUGUGAAGAAGUUGCAGACCACAGGUUUAGUAUCAUACAUAUAACGGAUUAUGGUAUGGUGUAUAGUCCUUCUGGCCUGCUCUUCAUUUUUUAUUUAUUUUAUUUCUUUUGCUUUUUAGAAUCCUUUGGGACAGAUGGUAUGUCCUUACUUCUUGGAAAUCUCCUAUAAUAUUUUGAAUGCUAUUGUAACAGAAACAGUACCGAAAAAGGUUAGUGGGAAUAGCCUGUGAGAAGAAGGGGUGCAAGAGGGUCCUAGUUUUGCAGAAAAGCCAGUUAAAUUAAUUUUCAGUUGUAUAGAAAAGGAUGGCUGAAGAGAAAAUUAAUAUGUAGAAAAGUUAAUGUCUAAUCAGAAACCAAAACUAAAUUAGGAUGGAUUCUUGCUGGUGUAUAGGAGAAAUGUGUAUGUUAAGAGUACAUAGCUUUCUGUCCUCAGACUUUACUGAAUUAACCCAAUGUCUCUCCUUUUCAUAAUCAAAGCAAAAUAAAAUAAAAACAACUGGAGAGGUUUAGCAAAUAUUUGGAGCCUACAUUCAAGAUUAGUUACCCAUGUAUUUAAAGAGAUUAAGAAGAAUAUAAAUCAUUUUUCCUUAAUUUGAAUAUAUCAGAGAUUCACAGUUUAUCUCCAUUUUUCUUUGAAAGGACAGACCUUCGUAUCAAGUGAAAUAUUUUAUUAGGUGCUCUGCGGAAGUGUCUCCACUUGGUAAAAGGUAGGAGGAGCAGCCAGAUGAAGUGUUUGGGAAAAGAUUUCUGUCUCUACCUGCUGGAUGCAAAUGAUGCAAAAGCCUAUACACUCCUAACUAGUGGUAAAACAAAAAAGAAAUGUACAAUCAGAAGAGUGUAAAACCCUUAACAGACACAAAAAGAUGACUAUAGAAUCUGUUCAAACUGGGAUAAUAUGUUAACACAAAAGCUCCUUUAUUCUUUAAGAGCAUGCUUUCUGGUGAAUAUUGUUUUCAGAUUUUUGAUCACUACUUUUCACUCUCCCCAAAUUAAUUUUAUGAAUAAAACUACAGAUUUUAGCCAUUAAAAGAAAAGCUCUGGAAAACGAUUGCUGGAUAAAAAAACACUGAAAUAAAAUAUUUUCUGGCAAUCAAAGAAAAUGUGGUACUAUGAUGUAAUUCUAUUAGCUCAUUUCCUUAAACAAUUUUCUAAACUUGUUAUAUGAUUGCCAUAAUUGUGCCAGUUACUGAGUUUUGGGAUAGUACCGUUAUUAUGUAGGAACUAAUGUAAACUUAUCUUUUUCAGUUUAUAAAUUUGGGAAUGCAAAAUGACCUCAGUAUAGGAGGGUUGUGCUGAAGGCGAUAGGGGGAUUUAAACGACAUCAUUAACAGUUGCUUAAUUUUUGCUGCACCUCCAAUGCAGUUGAAAUGUUGGCCACUUGAAAAUCAGUUGGGUUCUAGCACUUGUUAGGUUGUGCUGGGAGAUGAUGCUUUAUGUGACUAGGUCUGGCGUGCAUUAAAUGACUGAAUUUACUGUGAGUCUUUUGGAGACGAGUCGAUUUAUACAGCACAGCAUAUAAGGUGUUGAAGGCAUGUGCCUAAAGGGAGGAGUGGCCCCUAGAGAGUGUUUGCUCUAAAGGAAAGGUUGCCAUGGUGAUGCCUGCAAGGCGAGAAAUGAGGUAAUAGUUUGUGAUGGUUACAGAGUGAAGUGAACAACUCUUGGAGAUGACUUUUCUUGAUACCUUGAGCACUGAAGAAUAUGUUUUGAUUUUUUUUUUCAUGUUUAAUCUGAUUAAUCGGUUACGAAUUUCUGUCUGCAAGAGAUACGUUUCACACGGUGUAUUUUCACUUUAUGGUCCACUUUGAUUAAUCGCCCAUGUCUUCCUCCGGAUGGGAAGCAAUGAAAGACUCCAGUUUCCCUCUUUGCUGUAUUUCAGGGAUUAAUGGGAAAUAGUGUCAUGCUCUGUCAAGGGACAAUUUUUCAUAUUAAGGUUUGCAAAGCAGAGACAGUGCCCUGUGCUGUGGCUCUUUACCAUAUUAAACAGGAAUGUCCUUCAAAGUCUUUGUCAAUGAUGGGUAUAAAUCAGAGAGAGAAAAACGGUACACACUGAAUUUAACAUUACUGCAUUUUUUAAUAUGUAAGUAGGCUUAACUUUUUUUCUGUCUUAAGCCCGUCAAGAUCAAACUGAAGCAGGCGUUCACAUCCACAAUUGAAACUUGCCAACCUUUUUCUUUAAGUUUACAUUGGUCCAAACUCUCCCCACUGCUUUUGUCAAUAGAUCUUUUAAAGGCAGGCAUUAGAGUUAAGUUUUCAUUAGUCUUUUUUCCACAGCUUCAGGCCCAAGGGCUUCUUUUAAUAGGCAUUAGUUAGGCCCCAGAAUUGAGUAGACAUUUGUGAAGGAGACUUGAAGUUUGGAACAAAAUUGUCCUUUAUAGUUUUUCCAUGGAGGAAAAAAAUCUUCUUAUGAGAAUAAAGGCUGUAGGCUAAUCUCUUGCCAUCUGGAAAAUGGAGAAGCCAGAGGUUGUUGGCACUGGGUCACAUCCCUUAUGUAAACUGUCAAAUUCUUUUCAUAUUAAUGGCAUAUCAAGUUAAACCCAUGAGGUUUGGUCUCUGCUGCAGCUAAUUUAUUGAUUUUUAUUUUGUUUGUGUCCUAUUUGCAUUUGAUAACUUUGACUGACUGUUUGAUAGAAAUUUGUUGCCUGUUCUUUGGAGCAGAAUUUUCCAGUCCCCCCUUCUCACCCUCCCCCUUCAGUAUACUAGCAGGUGAUGAUGCUGUUUUGUUAGAUUCCAUUAAGUAAAAUCCCUUUAAAUUGGAGAAAUUUCUCAAGUGACUUUUUAGCUAAUUAACUUAAAAGGAAGCUAGAGACAACUGUUCUGUGCAAUGAGAUGCCCUGUCACAUGCCACCAUAUUUAAUCCUGGUACUGCAAAUUACUGGAUAGGUGCCAGGAUCUAAUAUGGAGGUUAUCUGGGGAUAAAACUGAACAGAGCCUUAUGGAAAUCCAAAUAAAAUUAAGGUGGUGUUUCUUUCUUUGGAGGACUUGUACCUUGCUGAAAGCCAUGCUGGGUGAAGUGGAUUUACUGUCAUAUUGGAUGUCUCAUUCUUGCUGUCAUCACCAGGGAUCCUAGUCUUCUCCCGAUUUAAAAAAAAAAAAAAAAAAAAAAAAAAAAAAAAAAAUCUCUAAUUUUCGGAUUCAACAAAGUAACCCCAAAUCCACAUUUUUCUAUAAUUUAAAAUGAAACACCACUAACAAUAUAGAUACGUACAUAUAAUGGUGUUUCAUUUUAAUCACGGAAAAAUGUGGAUUUGGGGUUACUUUGUUCAGUCUGAAGAUUGGGGAUUUUUUUAAAUCUGAGAAAAUCAAGAUCCCAGGUCAUCACAUGUAUAUAAUAAUUGGCAGCUUAGCACUGCCAAUUAUGGCAGAAAACAAAGAGGUGGGGGGACCUCAAGCCAGAAGUAUGAAUGUUUAAAAUCAUUAAAUUUUUUGUGCUAGAAAUGUAGCCCUAUCUGAAAGUUGAGCCCAGUAGCUCUUAGACAUAUCGACAGCUUUAUUCAAACAGGAGUCACUGCCAACAGCUGCUGUUAUCAAGUUGUUGUGUAUUGAUUUUUUGUUUGUUUGUUUUCUGAAACAUUUUCAUGCCUUUCCCCUGUCCUGAAAUAAAAGAAAAACUGUGAACUUGGUUGUAGACCUUUGCAUAGUGAAAGGCUGAACAAUGUAAAGUAUGCCAAAAACCCCCUCUAAGGCUAGUUACUGCACCAGGCAGAUUUCAGUGUUGUAUACUAUGAAUCAUAGCCAGUGAACAGAUACAAUUUAUUUUACUCCCAAAUACUUCAUACCCAGUACAUUUUGCCAAAAUCUAAGACCCAACUGGGAGAGAUUUGUACGCGUGUUUCUUUUUACGCUUAUCUUAGCUGUCUUUUUAGAUUUGAUGAAGAGGCUAGGAAUAUAGUGAGCAGAAGGAAAAUGUAAAGUUUGGUAUUUUCAAAUUAUGAAAUUAUUUAAUGGUCAGAAAAUAUCAGUGCGCCUUCAGUGUCAUUGUCUACUUUCUUCCCCACUGUCAACCCCAUCAGUGUGUCUCAUAUAAACCAGAGCAGUAAAAUGAUGCCAGACAAUCCAAAGGGUAUGGCUCCUGUUUGUUUUAUCCAUUAUAUUUCUCUGCUCAUACUUAGAUUUCCCUUCUGUCUCCAGCGUUUGAAGUAGAGAGAUGGGAACAGACAAAAGAUUGAAGUCCCAGGGGAAGUUAGUUCAAUCUCAGUUUGUUCCCUCCGCUGGGACUAAAGCGCAGAAAUUUGCUCAGGAAGCUUUGGGAUGGCACAUGAGCAGUUAGGAAAGAGAGAGAAGUGACUUUAAAGGGAUGAUCAAAGACCUUACCAUCAGGUUACUCAGUGUGUACUUGAAAACAGAAGCUUUGUAGUCAGAAGUGGAUGGAGUAGAGUGGAGCAUUGCAGUGGUUAUUAUUUAUUUUUUAAGUAAUCAUUUCCAAUUGAUGAUGUUGGGAAUAUGUUUUCGGACAAGCUCACUCCCUGUGUUGUGCAGUAUUUUCUGCCAAAAUCCUGAGACAACUGUAGCAGUAAUAAAAGGAACUGUCCUGGUGGUGAAGAAAACUUCUUAUGCAAUAUUGGUAUAAUUUUGUCAAGCUGCAAUUCCCAAAAAAAUGCGGCAAGGGAGGGAAUUAAGUAUAAAUAUAGGAUGAUUUAUAACUGCAGGAUAGAAAAAAGCAGGAAUACAGAAACUGCUUUGCUUUUAUUUUCUUUUAGUUGCUCUAAAGAGAUCCUGCUCUAGUAUUAAAAUAAUAAUCAGUAAUCAGUGCUGUGUCAUAGCAUUGGAUAAUAGGGACUUAAAAUUAUUGCAUGAAAGCUUCUCAUAAACAUUUAUAAAAUAGUAGCAAAAUGUGCUUGCCUUCGUAGUUUCUAACAGAAGACAUUUUUGUGCAUGACUUGAGUACUGUUCUCUUUCUGCCUGUGCCUCUUGCAUGUAAAGUAACAAUCAGGUUAAUACUAGUAAUUCACCACUGCCUGUUUGGAAUUCAUCUUGCUAAACAAAACUGUGAUUGGAACGAUACUGUAGUUUAGGGGCUGUCAUCUGAUAAACCCAUUUUCUUUCCCUGGUUGAUAGGGACUUGAACUGGCCCUUCUUGUUUGAGAUUUAGUUGACUGAGUAUAUCAGAUGUCUCUACAUUAAGUAAGCAGAAGUUCUGAAUAAGGGCCAGCAGGGGGUGCCCUUGCCAGUUAAAGGCAGACAGGACAGAGAGUGCCAUGUCAGAGAGAGAAACUGAUGAAAUCUGUUUGAAUCUCUGAUCUUUGCCUUCUCCUUCCCCUUCCCCUCCACCCCCUCCCGCUUUAAGUUGAGUAGCUAGCACUAGAGCAAUUUCAGUCUCCCCCUGCCCACUCCAUUAAGAAGAUAAAGCUACACCCUUUCACGUCUGUGGUUGGGUUACAGUCAACAUAGACUGCAACCUGGGAAUUGUUCAUUCUUUAUAUCACCUCAUGCUUCAUGUCCCUCUAAAAUAUCUUUCACUGGGAAAGCUCUCUGUCAUAGCUUUUCCCACAGAGACUUUUUGGGCUAUGAGAGUAAAAGGAACAAUCAUUCUGAGCGAAUAGGAGCAAGUUUUCAGACAAAAGUGUUCCCAAAUUUUAUGCUUAUAUAGUUGCCAUGCUUAUGUUGUUCUUCAUUCCCUCUGGAAUAAGGAAAGCCUGUUUCACUGUGUGUCUUUUUGUCUGUACUGCUGCCAUGCAUGCUCUGUGUUUGAAAUUAAGGGUGGUGCUCUUAUAGUCUAAAGGCUGAAAUCUGGGUUAUUGGGCAACAUGGCAUUUUAUUUGUAUAGUAAAACAGUAACACAGCUACAUAUUUAUUUUUUAAUGAAUGAAGAUCUUUCACUAUGGUUCUGGAGAUGCGUAGCACAGUGUAGCAUCAUACAAAGUAUAACAACCUUUUAAAAAAAAAAGAAUCUAGAUGCCUUUUACUGUUUUUUAGGCCUGCAACACUGUAUCCAGACAGCGAACCAUCUGCACACUGAAAACUUCAUUGGUUGGAUGCUUGGAGGAGCUUGUAACCACAAUGUGAUGCUUUAUCAUCAAGUGUUUUGGCUUGAACGGCUGACCCUGUGGGGGCCCAUUCACUAUGCCCCAUGUUGCAUUAUGUGCAUCCCUGAUGCUGGAGUGCUUCCCACUCUAACUGAGGCACAACCAAAAGAACAGAAGCCACACAGCAGGUUGCAUAGCUUUGGGGAAGCUUUGUGCACAGGCCACUUUGCCUUUAACUGGGAAUGGUCCCCAGUAACAGCUGCUACCAAUUCUAGUAUUUGUCACUCAGUUUCACUUACAGACAAAUCUGGUCCAAGAUGAAAAUGUGUACAAAAUGUACACUUUGGUGAAGCAUUUGAAAUGGGUAAGCUGAAGUCUGUUAGUUACUCAUCAGGUUUUUUGGCAUGCUACAAAUACCAGUGUUUGUACAUUCCUUUACUUCCAGGCGUCAUUUUAUUUGAUUGAAUUGUUUCCCAUUAGGAAUAUGCUUGUAAACACCACCACCUCUGUAACAGGCUGCAGAUACAGACCUAACAUCUAUUGGUUCCUGUUUUGUUACAUAUUGUAUACACAUUUUCAUUUAAUUGUAAAGUCACCUGUAAAGCUCCCUGCUACAAAGAGCUUCAUUGUUCACAAAUUAAUGUCAUGAAUCUACUUGGACAUGAACCAGAAACUUGCUAUAAUUGCCCACAUGCAAGUAAAGCUUUCCCUGUGUAUUAAUUAGUUGAUACAAGGGGUUAAGAUGAUUACAUGGAAGGCAGUGCAGUUUCUCUCUUAAUAAGUCAGGCAGUGUAGGUGCCAAACUAGCCCUCCAUCCCAUUUGAGCAAGUGGUGUAUUUUGAUAAAGGCGCAAGUCAGACCACUAAGGCUUCCUAUGGCGGCAGCAAUGUGUAGAUUGUUUUGGUUUGCUAAUGCCGUUGAUGUGCAAUGUGGGAUAUUAAUCAAGACUAAUUACGCACACUGGCUAUGAAACAAACUCGAGGCCAGUGCAGGGCAUGCUUCUCUGUGUAAUUACUGACUUUAAGGUAUUGGGGUAAUUACUAGAAAUUAGAAGACCUACCAUUUGUAUCCAUUGCAUUUCAGAACAUCAGCACAGUGUGAUGGUUAUUUCUUUACAAUUUGGUUUGGUUAGUUACAAACGCAUGUCAGUCUAGUUUGGUAGGCAUCACUUAUAAUUACUAUUUUUUAUGUUCCAUUCAUCUUUAAAACUGCAUCUGAAAAACUCUGCCAAGGUAACAGCAAAGAAGUGUUCUGUGGAAACAGACUUCAAGUAACAAGGGGCAUGAUAUUUAUGUAGGAGGUUGAAUGUGACUUAUUUCUGUUAAAUAUUCUGAUAGGGUCCAGAAAUCUGUAUUGUGAAUCAGACUGAGAUUUCCCUAGCUGGUUCUUCCUUACAGUUUAAUUACUUUCUGUGUAUAAUAUGCAAUGGGCAUGUCUACAUGAGACCCUACGGCGCAGUGGUUACUGCGUAUUUAUUUAGUACUUGUAUAAACAAGUACUAAAUAAAUGUGCAGUAAUGGGGAUUACUGCGCAGUAGCACCGGCUACUGCGCAGUAGCAUCUAGACAGUUUUGGUCACGCAACACUACUGCAGUAGUAUCGGGCUACUGUAUCAGCAUCUCAUGUAGAUGUGCCCACUAUAAUGUAUGUGUAAUAGGAUUUUGUGUCAAGAGGAAACACUAGUAAGUAUAGAUAAUGAUUAGUUAAUUAUACGCAUGAACAUGUACACAUGCAUGUAUACAAGUGUAUGUAUGUGCACAUACAUACAAGCAUAUAUAUGUUUAUAGAUAGAUAUACAUAUAUAUAUAUGUGUGUGUGUAUAUAGGGUAAGAAUGCUCUUAUUUUGGAAAGCUGCUGGAAAUCAUCAGCUAAUACUUCGCUGCAGUGACCGAAAGGAAGCUGGAUUGAAGAAAGUACUGUAUUCCUCAGGGGAGAUGAUUGUAGAUACUUUUGAGUUUUUACUAUCUUGGUCCAUGGAGGAUGAAGUGAGAUUGACAGUCCUGUGGAUUCUGUAAUCAUUCAGGCUGGCAGCCACAAAAAUAUACUGAUAGAAGGGAAUUUAAAAAAUAUUCUUCCUGCUAUUAACAUUUAUGCAACUGUAAUUGCAAGCAGAGGAGAGAGGGAUGAGUUUGGGUUACAACAGAUAUUUCUAUUAAGGUUUCUCUUUUAUACUCUAGUGUAAAGUGAUUACUGGGUUACCAAAGAAAACAAGAAUCCCAGUUUUUGCUUUUGUAAUGUAUUUUGUAAUGAUUCAUGUGGCAAUGAGAGAAACACUCUUUAUCCUUUUGGUGUGUGCUCUAAUAAUAAUUGGUAGUAAUGGUAAUAGUUCCAAAUUCUUUUUACAGAAGUGUUUCAUUGCGUUUUACUCAGUGCCAUCUUUAACAAGCUAGAAACUGUUGCUACUGUCAAAAGCUUUUUUUUUUCUUUAGGUUUGAACUUCUCUGGCAUAAAUUGCUUGUAAAUGGAGUCUGAGCCAGUCCAUUCCCAUUGUCUGUGCAGAGCUAGACACAUGAAUGCCACAAAUUAAUCAAAUCUAAGGCAAGAAUAGAAAGCUCUCACCCACUUAUGUGUCUGUGAAAGCAGCUUUGAAUUGGAGGGAAAGAACCUAUCAAAUGUACAUGAAAAAUGGUGGGUUUAUGAAGGCCAGGGAAUUGUGCAGCUUGACUGGACCUGCAUGCCACCAUGUGGGAAGGAGGAGGGGGAAGGAUAGUGGGUGGGAAUACUACCAGCCUGUGAGGUUUUCUUCUAAAUGAUCUUCUUUCAUUGAUUGAUGCUACUUGGGUCAUAAAUGAGCUCCUUGCUGAGGCAAGGUUGAAGGUCAAAGUGUAGUGCCAGCUGCCUGGCCUGCCAUCAAACAAUGGUAGUAUCCUUCUGUACAAAAGAACGGAGCAUUCCAGCAUAAUGUUUUCUUAGUCUUUAGACUAACCCUUCCUUUUGCAAACCUCAGGAUUCUCUUGGACGGGAAUUAUACAGUGUCACUUAUAAUUAACCUUCUUUUCUUCCUAACAAUUUGCACGUAAGUGUUCCUUAAAAUCGUUGAUAAAUAUCUGCAUUUAAACACUCAAAUCUCUCCUCUCUUUUUCUCUAUUACCUUUCCCUUUGUAAAUUAAGAUGAUUUUGAAUGAUUCUGAUCUUAUAAUUUAGGAAAACAAAACAAAAAGAGUAUAGCUUUAAUUUCUUUUAGGCAACUUUAUAAUGAUAUUGUUGAACCAUCUUAAAGGCAAAAGUUUUGGCCUGCUCUAUUUUUCCCUCAAAACAGGUAGGUUAAGAUGGAUGUUUUCCAAUCUAGUCAUGUUUUCUAUACCAGGAACAUAGAUUCUCUGAAAUGCAAACUCUUUUGGACAGGGACUGUCUGCUUAGGCAUGUAUGGCCCAACACAUAGCAGGCAAGCACUACCACACCAUAAAUUGUGACUAAUGUCAUCAUAAUUAAAGGAAUGAUAAUGUAAAUCAAACUGAACUGAAUGGCAUCUAAACAUAAAUUGUUUGAAUUGGAUGUUAAAGGUCUGGUGUUCAACUGCCAUAAAACAGUAACUGGAAUUACAUGCCAUAUUUCCCAGCAUUUUGUUUAAACAUUUACCUUGAGCUGUUUAAAAUCCUGUGCAGCAGAAAAAUUGCUCUUUUUGACAAAUACCAGUUUUACUAUGGAAGUCCAGAAAGAUAUUAGCAAAGAAAAUAAAUGAUAGCAUGUCAUUUACAUAAAGAUUAUAAUGAAUACAAAAGCAUGAAGUAUGCAUACAUCUCUUGUUUUUCCUGAACACCUUCUGAACAUCCUGAUUAAACUGGAAAUUGUCCCUAAUGUCCUUUUUUUGUGGUUUUCUUAGCUGCAGAGAUUUUUUUUUUUAUUCUUUGUAUGAUUUGUAUCCCACAUUACAUUUAUUUUCCUCCAUUCCUCUGAUUCUCAGAUGGAAACCGCACAGAGCUUUCUGUGGGGUGGAGAAAAGAGCAUUGUAUCACACUUCCUGCACAGUGCCAAUUAGUUCCAGUACGGACUUUCUUUGUGGCUUUCGUUGGAACCACUAUCACACUGUUAUUGGUUCCUAAACCUGCUGGAGCAGCUACACUUUUUUCCAACCUCAAGCCAUGCCAAAGGUCACAUUACAGCUAACCCCAGAGAGUAAAAAACAAAGUAAAGAGUGUACAGUUUUUCAAAGAGAUGACCCUUCUCUGCUUGGCCUCUGGUAGGCUCUAAUAUAAUGAUAGAGCUUAACAGCUUGUAAAAAGCUCCAACUGCUUGAGGUUACCCAUGUUAAACAAAUGGCCGACUCAAAUUACUCUUUCUUCCUAUCAGAUUUAUAACUUGAUAUCUGAGAAGGGCUCUUUAGGAACUUGUGGAAGGUGAGCAAACAGAUAGGAGGAUCUGCAGGGACUCCGCCCAUUGUUACCUAUAGGCAUUAUUUAUAACUUUUGACUAGAUACUCUUUUGGAGCCUCAUCUGAAGAGUUUGGCAAUUUGGACAAAAAUGAUAAAGUAAUAUUGAUAUACUUAAUAUCUAUGUCAAAAUAGGAGCACAGUGCAAAAUGGCAUUACUUUCCUUAGAAUUUGCUGAGAUUUCUAGUCAGACUUAAUGAGAAUAAAAUAUGAAACGAGACUGAAAAGCAGUUCUUAGGCUGGAGAAAACAGCCUUCCUGAUGAUUAAAAAAGAUAAAAUUCAGCUCUUCAGACUCAGUCACCACUCAGCUUCUCAUUACAGUUGCAGCUUCUCCUCCCAAAUUGUAAUAAAGCAUGCAUAGAGAAAGAGACCUUUAACUUAUUUUCUCGCACCUUGUUUUCUUUCAAGUCCCUUGAUAUCUAUCUUGUUUUGGUUGCAGACUGGCUGAAUACUAAGGUUAUAUUUACUGCAAUUACUAGAUCAAGCUCAACUGCAACAGUCUUCAGGACCUGUUGACAGCUACGGUUUGCUUUGUAUUCACAUCCAAAACUUUUAUUACAUUUUCCAUGCAGCAAAACUCUUUUUGAGAAAACUCAGUACCCAGGAAAAGGUGUGAAGCUCUGCUACUUCUCCAAAAAUAUGAAAUGAUAUACUAGACAUUGUCAUAUGCCUAUCUAGUCAGGUGAUCUAGGGUCAAGUAGGAGACAAAUCUAGGAGACAGCUCCAUGUGUGUCAGUCUUAAGGACUUGUAGCAAGGUAUCUGACCAAUUACUGAGAACUUGGGAGAUAUGCCAAUUAGCAAAAACUUUUAUUGAUCAGAUAUAAGAAGCAACAAAUAUCUAUACUUUGCAAGGUAUCAAUGAAGAUAGACAUUGAUAAGUGGCAGUUCAUCUGUCUCAGGGCGGAAAUCCAUAUUCGUCAAUUGUGUGAAAUAGAGAAGCAUUGUCUCUAUUAUAAAAUUAGAGAAAAAUCUUCAUUUCCCAACUUUUUAUUCAUAUUUUAAAUAUUUCACUUAUCCAUUUGCCAAGGGCAGGGGGCAUCUAAGUUUGUUGCUUGUUUAUUUUUUUUAGUGGACCAUAUCACUGAAUACAAGAAGACUUUUUAGCAUGUAUAGCUUACAAAAAAACUAAAGCAUGACAUUUGAUUCUCUCACCUUCUCUUAAAGUUUUGCUCACAGUGGUGGGGGCAGAGUGGGGUACAUGGCCUAGAGGGCCACUCCCAUGAUGUGUGGUCUGUACAGCAUGCAUCCCAGGAGUUUCUGGGCCUCUACCACCCAGAGGUUGGACAGCCAUAAAUCAUUUUAGUAGCAGUUCUUAAUGCAGGGAGAUGAAAGAAAUGGCCGGUACCAAGUAGAGUUAAAAUACUUUAGGCAAUACUGAGUGUCGCAUUGCAUGUCAGAGUUGAGAUGAUUUUUGUAACAUGCAUUAAAUUAUGUGGAUUUUGUCCUUCUAACAGAGCCAUCAUUGAAAACUAAGGGUUGAAUCCUGAUUUGUAAUGGCACAGACCCUUUGGGCAUAGGUCUGUAUCAGUGUUUAUCCUACACAAAGAAUGAGUACCUAUGGACACUCCUGUGAUAAUUACUUAAUAAUGGUAAUAAAGGGGAAGAGUCUGCUUGCCCCACCUAGUGGCACAGUAAAGAACUUGAAGUGAAAAGUGUAGCAGGAAUAGAGUAGCUUUAAGCCACCCUCUGGCCUCUCAAUCCAGGGCUUCUGUGGGGCUUCUAGAGUAAUUUAGGCCGCCAGGAGUUAAGCCAUCUCAGUCCUCCACCAAAUCGGCUGUGGGUAGUAGCACUGUCUAAAAUACUGCUUUGUCUUUGACAUGUCCCUCCCUCUCCAAACUGUAUUUCCUAUAUAUUCACCACAUCAGAACUUGGGAGGGGUCUUCAGAGGCUAGCUCUGCAGCUGUCUACAGCACAUGAAAACACAUGGAAAGCACUGUGUUCAAAUUUGCAGAUGACACCAAACUAUGGGCAAAGCAAACACACUGCUGAUGGGAAGAAACCGAAUACAGGAGGACCUGGACAGGUUAGAGAAGUGAGCGGAGAACAAUAGGAUACAGUUCAACAAGGACAAGUGCAAGGUGUUGCACCUAGGGAGAGGGAAUCAUCAGCACACCUAUAGGCUGGGGGAUGACCUUCUCAGCAGUAGAAAGAGAUCUCAGAGUUGUUGUUGACUCCAAGAUGAAUAUGAGUCGGCAGUGUGGUGAAGUAAUUAGUCAACUGCACUUCGUCAUGCAUUAGUAGGUGCAUCAUGAACAGGUUCAGGGAGGUGAUGCUCCCGCUCUAUGCGGCACUGGUCAGGCUGCAGCUGGAGUACUGCAUUCAGUUCUGGCAUCGCACUUUAAGAGGGAUGUGGAUAACCUUGAGAGGGUCCAGAGGAGGGCCACUCAUAUGGUUAGAGGCCUGCAGGGAAGGCCUUAUGAGGAAAGGCUGAGGGACUUGGACCUUUUCAGCCUCCGCAAGAGAAGGCUAAGGGGGGGAUCUUGUGGCAGUAUACAAACUCACCCGGGGAGGGGGAGCAGGGAAUAGGAGAUGCUCUGUUUACCAGAGCACCCUUUGGAAUAACCAGAAACAACAGCCACAAGCUGAUAGAGAGUAGAUUUAGGUUGGACAUCAGAAAGAACUUCUUCACAGUAGGGUGGCCAAAAUCUGGAAUGGGCUUCCAAGGCAGGUGGUACUCUCCUCUAUCUUGGGGGUCUUCAAGAAGAGACUGGAUGAGCAUCUGGCUGGGGUCACAUGACCCCAGCACUUUUCCUGCCAUGAGCAGGGGCUCAGACUUGAUGAUCCAUUUGAAGUUCCUUCUGACCCUAGCAUCUAUGAGCUUGAGGGAGUCCUCCACCAAACAGGCACAUAACUUAUCAGAGUGGCAAAAAAAAGCCUGAUCCCUUUGCAUGUAUAAAGAGGCUGCGUAACAUGAAGAGCUGUCCAAAAGUUUUGAAGGAUAUCCUUGGUGGAGCUGAAAUGAUGUAGUUGAUCUCCUGUGAAUGUUGCAGUAGGUAGCAGUAUGAUCACAACAAAUAUGAAAAUAAUUAGGAUGAAAUUCAGUCAAUAGUGUUUAAAAAAGAAGUUGUGUUUAAAAAAAAAAAAAAAGUGAAACGAGUUAAAUUUUCAUAGUUUCAUAGUUGGUAGGGUAGUAAGGGACUUGAGCAGAUCAUCAAGUCCGACCCCCUGCCAUGACAGGAAAAAGUACUGGGGUCAAAUGACCCCAGCAAGGUGUUUGUCUAACCUCCUCUUAAAGACCCCCAGGGUAGGAGCCAGCACCACUUUGAUUGGAAGUUGGUUCCAGAUCCUAGCCGCCCUGACUGUGAAGUAGCUCCUCCUGAUGUCUAGUCUGAAUCUACCUUCUGCCAGCUUGUGACCGUUAUUUCUAGUUACUCCUGGUAGUGCUUGGGGGAACAGGGACUCCCCCAAUGCCUGCUGGUCCCCUCUGACUAGUUUGUAACAGGCCACUAGAUCCCCCCUCAGCCUUCUCUUGUGGAGGCUGAACAGGUUCAGGUCCCUUAAGCCUCUCAUUGUAGGGCCUGCCCUGCUGCUCCCUGAUCAUGUGGGUGGACCUCCUCUGGACCCUCUCCAUGUUGUCCACAUCCCUCCUGAAGUGUGGUGCCCAGAACUGGAGACAGUACUCCAACUGCAGCCUGACCAGUGCCGCAUAGAGGGGGAGGAUCACCUCCUGGGACCUGCUCGAGUUGUAUCUGUGGAUGCAUGACAAGCUGUGGUUGGCCUUCCUGACCGCAUCCCCAUACUGUCGGCCCAUGUUCAUUUUGGCAUCAGUAAUGAUUCCAAGAUCCUUUUCUGCCUCUGCACUGACAAGAAGGGAGUUCCCCAGCCUAUAGGUAUUUGUUAGCAUCAAUGGCACGAUCUCUCCCCCCUGGUUACAGCAUGACGAAAGCUUUCCUAACUGUUAUUCUUAGCUAGAGAUUAUAACAAUAUUAUAUCAAUACCAUAAAAACUAGUGCUUCUUCACUAUUUGCAAUGGUCAAGGGUGAAAUACCUUACCGUUGACCAUUGCAAAUACAUUAUUUUCCAACUCUUGGCUCUUGGCAGUUCCUUGCAUUCAGCUGUUAAUUAUGUUGUUAUAAUUGACACAGUACUUAACAGGCAAAAUAAGGUGACUGACCUUUAAGAUAAUAAUGAAAAUGCAUUUAAACUGUUGCUGUUGAAAAUCACUUGAAAGCAGAAGUCAAAGUAAUUUUGCAACUUGCAAUUUUACUUACAGGACAAGGACGCAGUACGGUGGGGAAAGGAGGGACAAAUAAAGAAUAAAUCACAAUAAAAAGAGCUAGAAAGCUAACAGAAAACAAACUUUAGCUCCAGAGACCACACAGAUUUGUUUUCUGGAUGUUCUACCAGAUGAUGUAGGAGGAUAGCUGUCUUUAAGGUUUUGAAGGUCUUAUCGGAGCAAGGUAAUGGAAUUGACUGUCUGAUUGACAAUCUGCUUUGAGAAUUCCAGUCAGCUAUGAACUAGUAUGUUGACUAAUAAGUCAGUGGCUUGCUAAGCCUUGUCAUUACCUAAUAUGUUUUUGUUUAAACAACUUGAGGCCUUGCAGGAGAUUUCUGUUUACAUUGUUGUCUCUUGUCAGUUUUAUUCUCUUUCCUGUUUUAGGGCUCAGUGUGGUUGCGAAUCUGACUGUGGGAAGGUUCUCUAGAAAAGUUUUGUAUGCUUACCAUACAGCCCUUUACUUGUGUUACUGAAUCACAGUAGCCUGAUUCUUUCACUCCAUAUAAGUUAAUCAUCAAUCUAGAAAUUGGAUGCAACAGUAAGGUCAGUGUUGGGACACUGAGAUUUUAUAGAUUAUCUCAGCAAUGAGAUUGCUCAAUUCAGUGUUGUUAAAACGAACUACUUUAAUAACUUCCUACUUUGUAUAAAAAAAAAAAUCAAAGACUGAAAAGAACGUUUUUUGUUGUUUGGAUUUAAAAUUUACAUUAGAAUUGUUACAAUUCAUAAUCUAGCAUACUAGUGAUAUCUUUUCUUAGACUAUAAAAUAGUUUGGACUAAAAUGGUUUUUCAGAAUGCCCUUAAUUUUAUGGGUAAAAUUUUGCACCCAUAAAUAGCUGUGAUUUGUGUUGUGGUGUAAAUGAUAGUACUUUAACAUCCAAAUACUUGUUUGCAUGUAUAAGUCUGAUGACUUUAGUACUACAAAAUUUGCCAGUAGUCCAUUACAGGUAUAACAUUAUACAGGCAGUUAUUUAUGUUUGCAAAAUUUAAGGCCUGGUUGAGUCCCAGUUGGAGUCUCAGGGUUAUUAUGUUCAAGAGAGCACGAACAUUGAUCACUUCUGCUCUUGGUUUAUCUCCUCACUGAUUUUUUUUAUUCCUUGUCUGUUGCUUAGGAAUGCAUUCUCCUACCUAUGCCUACCAAAAAACUAAAACAGUUUCUCUCUUUCCUCUCCCACCCCUCUUUUAAGACUUACUAUUGCAGAUAUAUGCUUGGUUUAUUCUGCUAUUGAAGAGCAAGGUAGCCAGCAGAAGGAGCUAAAGCUUAAAGGGAUUCUAUCAUAUUAAGAAUUUCAACAGUUGAUAUGCAGGAUAUAUGGGAUGUUGAAAGUCCUCAAAACAAAUCCUGUAGUCAAUUAAUGUAUUGUCAUAAUGUUGAAGCAACAUGAGGAUGAAGAUGUGCACAGAUCCUAGCAAGCAGUUGCAUCCCAAAAAUAAAAUUUAACUCUCUAUUUACAUGAAGAUAUGAACUGAAACAUUACUUGAAACAAAUGUGUUCAAAGCAGUAUAAAUAAUGCAGAUAUUUUACAUCAUCUGAACUUUAUUAAUUUUUUUCCAGAUACAACUCGUUAAAUAAAGCACUGCAUAUGCAUUCCAAGGCAUACUUUUUUGAAAACAAUUCUUUAGGGUUUGGGGGGAAGAUGAGAAUGAGAGAGAAAUAUUCAUGCAAAGUCUGAGAACUUGACUGGGAGUUACAUGUUCCAUUUAUUUCAACCUGCACAGAACAACUUGAAAGAAAGGGGCCCUAAUUACCCAUCUGUAAAAUGGGUUAAAUAAAGUUUAUGAACCUUGCAGCAAUGUCCUGAAGACUAAUUGUUUAAUGACAAUGAAAUACUUCCAAGAUGGAAAGUUUUUUGUUUUUUUAUCCACGCUGCUAUUGCUAAGAAUAACAAUAGUUGUUGCUGUUGCUGCUAGUACUGCUACUGCUGUUGUAUUUGUCGUCUUCCAAUUUUAAAAUUUGUGUGUGAAAUUUUUCUCUCAAAUUCAUAUACACUACCAUCUUUAGCUAUUAUGUACUUGAGUUCUUAAUUAUUCAUAUUUACAGUCACUUUUAGAAUUCCACAUGUUGACCCAACUUGCAAAUGCUUAAACAUGAACAUAACUUCACUUACCUGGGUAAUCUCACUGAAAAAAUGCCAAUUCGGGCAACUGACACGAGCAAAGUUGCAUAUGUGCUAAUAAUUAACAGGAUCAAGGCAUUUAUUGAUGCAUUGCAAGCAGCAGCCUGUGAAACAUACAGGAGUUGGAGCAGCCUUGCCUAACUCAUUUGAUGUGAGUGCUGCUAACCAUGGAAAUGGUUUUUAAUCAUGGUUGAAUUGGGUUGGAUGCAAGUAGGCAAAAGCCUGCAGAUAAAAUUGCCUGUAGCUUGUUAGCAGUGCCCUGAGGUAUCCAGCCACCCAGUAAGGGCUAAUGUUAAACCUUUGAAAAUGAGAUCUGCUUUCUUGACAGAUAGAUUUAUUAAAUUAAGUUCUGACCUUUUUAGAGCCUAGAAAGGUAAGAUCUUCAAUUGGAUAAAAAAAAAAAAUCUCCUCUAGUCUUCUGUCAGAGUCUUGCAAACACAUUCUCCAAUCUAGUUCCUCAUCCUUUUUUUUUCUUUAAAAGGGACACCUACCAUUAAUCAAUAUAAUGAUGAAACAAAUACUAAUGUCAAAAUCCAUUUCUAAAUUCAGUAUGUCAUAGUGUAAAAGUGUUCAAUCAAUAUUAUCUCCCAUGGCCUUCCAUUCCCCAACAGGCUUUUACUUGCACUGCAAAAACAACGGCUAGAAGUAGUUUGACUUCUACCUGGGCCAGUCCCUAGAAGGGGACAUAAGUUUGGUGGCAUGUUAUAUGAUUGUUUUUUAAAAAAGCAGUAGUAAUAUUGAUUGUCAGUAUUUAUGGAUUCAGAAUUGAUUGUGGGAGUAGUGUGUGAUGUGGUUAGAGCAGUAGUUAGAUAAGGCUACUUGAACUAGUAGAGGAAUUUUCAACCUUUUUGGAUCAGUGUACCUCU